Molecule: long non-coding RNA, 316 nt
Organism: Cottoperca gobio
Lineage: Eukaryota; Metazoa; Chordata; Actinopteri; Perciformes; Bovichtidae
Exons: 3
Source: RefSeq, a predicted model, not a curated record
GCCGGAGGCCGCAGAAAAAAGCUCAACUCGAUAUGCAGCAGAAGAGUAAACAACUGCAACCUGUCCUGUUCCGCUCCAGUGGGGCUGCUUCCUCCCAUAAUGAGAUCGCCGUGUGCCCCAUCAGGGCCGGCCGCCUCGUCCCCCAUUUCCAGGCUAACGAGGGUGAGAUGUCGUGACUGCCAGAGCCCCCCGAAAAACAAGUAAGCUUCAUAGAGAACAAGAUACCAGCGAGUGUCAGAGAAGAUCACCCAACCCAACAACCCAACAACAACCAACAACCAACAACCCAACAACCCAACAACCCAACAACUCCAAC